Molecule: ribosomal RNA, 798 nt
Filed under: uncultured bacterium
Lineage: Bacteria
Description: bacterial SSU rRNA
Rfam family: Bacterial small subunit ribosomal RNA
Source: RNAcentral
AGAGUUUGAUCCUGCGCUCAGGACGAACGCUGGCGGCGUGCCUAACACAUGCAAGUCGAGCGGAGACAGUGAGUAGCUUGCUACGAACUGUUUUAGCGGCGGACGGGUGAGUAACGCGUGAGCAACCUUUCCCAGACAGGGGAAUAACACACCGAAAGGUGUACUAAUACCGCAUAAGACCACGGUUUCACAUGGAACUGAGGUAAAAGAUUUAUCGGUUUGGGGUGGGCUCGCGUCCGAUUAGGUAGUUGGUGAGGUAACGGCCCACCAAGCCGACGAUCGGUAGCCGACCUGAGAGGGUGAUCGGCCACAUUGGGACUGAGACACGGCCCAAACUCCUACGGGAGGCAGCAGUGGGGAAUAUUGGGCAAUGGGGGGAACCCUGACCCAGCAACGCCGCGUGGAGGAAGAAGGUUUUCGGAUCGUAAACUCCUGUCCUUGGAGACGAGUAGAAGACGGUAUCCAAGGAGGAAGCCCCGGCUAACUACGUGCCAGCAGCCGCGGUAAUACGUAGGGGGCAAGCGUUGUCCGGAAUAAUUGGGCGUAAAGGGCGCGUAGGCGGCUCGGUAAGUCUGGAGUGAAAGUCCUGCUUUUAAGGUGGGAAUUGCUUUGGAUACUGUCGGGCUUGAGUGCAGGAGAGGUUAGUGGAAUUCCCAGUGUAGCGGUGAAAUGCGUAGAGAUUGGGAGGAACACCAGUGGCGAAGGCGACUAACUGGACUGUAACUGACGCUGAGGCGCGAAAGUGUGGGGAGCAAACAGGAUUAGAUACCCUGGUAGUCCACACUGUAAACGAUGAAU